UACGAAGGGGGCUAGCGUUGUUCGGAAUUACUGGGCGUAAAGCGCGCGCAGGCGGUCUUCCAAGUCAGUGGUGAAAGCCCGGAGCUCAACUCCGGAAUUGCCAUUGAAACUGUUGGACUUGAGGAUGAGAGAGGUGAGUGGAAUUCCCAGUGUAGAGGUGAAAUUCGUAGAUAUUAGGAAGAACACCAGUGGCGAAGGCGGCUCACUGGCCCGGAACUGACGCUGAGGUACGAAAGCGUGGGGAGCAAACAGG
RNAcentral lists this ribosomal RNA (253 nucleotides) under uncultured bacterium. RNAcentral describes it as "partial 16S ribosomal RNA". It matches the Rfam family "Bacterial small subunit ribosomal RNA", at positions 524 to 776 of the family's 1533-position model. The record is from RNAcentral.